CUGGCUCAGGAUGAACGCUGGCGGCGUGCCUAACACAUGCAAGUCGAGCGGAGAUAAGUUGAAGCCUAGCGAUCUUAUCUUAGCGGCGGAUGGGUGAGUAACACGUGGGUAACCCUGCCCUGCACUGGGGAAUAACAGCUGGAAACGGCUGUUAAUGCCGCAUAUGCGCACGGAGCCGCAUGGCUUUGGGCGGAAAGAUUUAUCGGUGCAGGAUGGGCCCGCGCCGGAUUAACUAGUUGGCGGGGUAACGGCCCACCAAGGUGAUGAUCCGUAGCCGACCUGAGAGGGUGACCGGCCACAUUGGGACUGAGACACGGCCCAAACUCCUACGGGAGGCAGCAGUGGGGGAUAUUGCACAAUGGGGGAAACCCUGAUGCAGCGACGCCGCGUGAAGGAUGAAGUAUUUCGGUAUGUAAACUUCUAUCAGCGGGGAAGAAGAUGACGGUACCCGACUAAGAAGCCCCGGCUAACUACGUGCCAGCAGCAGC
RNAcentral lists this ribosomal RNA (488 nucleotides) under uncultured bacterium. Its description in RNAcentral is "bacterial SSU rRNA". It matches the Rfam family "Bacterial small subunit ribosomal RNA", at positions 19 to 518 of the family's 1533-position model. The record is from RNAcentral.